GCAAGGAGCUGAGAAAAAAAAACACACUCACGCCCACAUCAGUCUGAGUGUUCUUUCUGCACACACAUUGCAGCUCAAUUUAGAAACAGCUUGCCCCAUGUGUGGGCCACAGCUUUCUUAAAUGCUUUUUUUGUUUUCCUAAGUUUUUAAAUUAAUGAGGGGACAGCAGCCGCUCUCUGUAGGUCGCAGCCCACUCUCCUGCUGCAGAUGCAUUGCACAGAGCGUCCUGAGCACCUACCCUGGCUGAACCUGACUUCCCAGCAUAUGCUGGUGGCCACAGCUCUGCCACAUCUGGCUUCUCACCCAGGACUCACUUGCUGGAGGAGCCCAUCUGGAACUCAGUAUUCCCAAGGCAAAGGAAGG
This 363-nucleotide long non-coding RNA is filed under the name Oryctolagus cuniculus (rabbit). RNAcentral describes it as "lncRNA (ENSOCUG00000030079.1)". Lineage: Eukaryota; Metazoa; Chordata; Mammalia; Lagomorpha; Leporidae. The record is from RNAcentral.